CUUGGUCAUUUAGAGGAAGUAAAAGUCGUAACAAGGUUUCCGUAGGUGAACCUGCGGAAGGAUCAUUAGAGAAAGGACAAAGUACCACACUGUUGCUGGACGGUGUCGAUUUAUCGACAAGAUAUAUCGACACUUGCCAGCGAGGUCGAAGGACCAUAACCUCUUUUAGCUGGUUACUCGGCUAUGCCGAGUAAGAUGGCAAAAAAGGAAAUUAAACAUUGACUAGCAACAACAAACACACAAGCACCUCGCCGCAAUGGAUCUCUCGGCUCUUGCAUCGAAGAAGAACGCAGUCAAUUGCGAAAAGUAAUGUGACGUGCACCCUUUGUGAAGCAUUAUACUCUUUGAACGCACCUUGCGCGCAUCUCCGGAUGCGAGGUCCUGUUUGAGCGUGAUAUAUUACUGGCAUUUGGCAGCUAUGUAUUUUAUAUAAUGCAUGGCGGCUGAAAUGGAAGCAGGCCCGAACGUCUCUAGGGCGCCACGGGCAGCAGCGCGACAAGCACCACUGCGAGCCGUGGGACUGCAGGUGCGCGAGAUGGCUGUACAGUCAUUGUUCACGCACAAUCAUACACACACACACCUCAAAUCAGGAUAGAGGACCCGCCGAACUUAAGCAUAUCAGUAAGCGGAGGAAAAGAAACUAACAAGGAUUCCCCCAGUAACGGCGAGUGAAGCGGGAACAGCCCAUGACGAACCACCAGCAGCGAUGCAGGCGGGCUGUGUCGUGGAGCCGCGCGCGGGCGCCAAGAAAACGUCGCAGGUCCCCUGGAAAGGGGCGGCACAGAGGGUGACACCCCCGUGGCGACGUUGACGUGGAGCCUCGGGCGCGGCAGCGAGUCGGAUUGUUUGGGAAUGCAAUCCCAAGCAGGUGGUACGCGCCAUCUAAGGCUAAACAGCGGCAAGAGACCGAUAGCAAACAAGUACCGUGAGGGAAAGAUGAAAAGGACUCUGAAGAGAGAGUCAAAAGUGCGUGAAAUUGCGUGGAGGGAAACGAAGGCGUGCGCUUCACAGGUGGCCGAGUCGCGCUGCACAACAAUCGGCCUGGGAGGUGCCACGUGGCGACACGCGGACGUACAGCCAGGCCGGCUUGGGCAGGGCGGCACCGGACACGGCGCGCGUCUUUGACCCGUCUUGAAACACGGACC
RNAcentral lists this ribosomal RNA (1145 nucleotides) under uncultured fungus. RNAcentral's name for it is "eukaryotic LSU rRNA". The stretch from base 577 to 1145 matches the Rfam family "Eukaryotic large subunit ribosomal RNA", at positions 1 to 667 of the family's 3401-position model. The record is from RNAcentral. Lineage: Eukaryota; Fungi.